UACGUAGGGGGCAAGCGUUGUCCGGAUUUAUUGGGCGUAAAGAGCGUGUAGGCGGUCAUGUAGGUCCGUUGUGAAAACUCGAGGCUCAACCUCGAGACGCCGAUGGAAACCAUAUGGCUAGAGUCCGGAAGAGGAGAGUGGAAUUCCUGGUGUAGCGGUGAAAUGCGCAGAUAUCAGGAAGAACACCCGUGGCUAAGGCGGCUCUCUAGUACGGUACUGACGCUGAGACGCGAAAGCGUGGGGAGCGAACAGG
This 253-nucleotide ribosomal RNA is filed under the name uncultured bacterium. RNAcentral describes it as "partial 16S ribosomal RNA". It matches the Rfam family "Bacterial small subunit ribosomal RNA", at positions 524 to 776 of the family's 1533-position model. The record is from RNAcentral.